CACGUAGUUGGCCGCACCUUCUUCUGAAAGUACCGUCAGUUUCGUUCCUUCUGAAAGCGGUUUACAACCCGAGGGCCUUCUUCCCGCACGCGGCGUUGCUGCAUCAGGCUUUCGCCCAUUGUGCAGGAUUCCCCACUGCUGCCUCCCGUAGGAGUCUGGGCCGUGUCUCAGUCCCAGUGUGGCUGAUCAUCCUCUCAGACCAGCUACCCGUCGAUGCCUUGGUAGGCCAUUACCCCACCAACAAGCUGAUAGGCCGCGAGGCUCUCCCGAUCCAGUAACCCUUUCGUCAGUACUCCAUGCGAAGUUCCGACGUCAUCCGGUAUUAGCAGUCGUUUCCAACUUGUUAUCCCAGAGACCGGGACAAGUUCCUCACGUGUUACGCACCCGUUCGCCACUAGAUCUUCAUCAGUAUUGCUACUGAAUGGAUCUCGUUCGACUUGCAUGUGUUAAGCACGCCGCCAGCGUUCGUCCUGAGUCAGGAUACAAACUCU
This 491-nucleotide ribosomal RNA is filed under the name uncultured Ilumatobacter sp. Its description in RNAcentral is "partial 16S ribosomal RNA". Lineage: Bacteria; Bacillati; Actinomycetota; Acidimicrobiia; Acidimicrobiales; Ilumatobacteraceae. The record is from RNAcentral.